GUAGAGUAGACAAAGGUCACCUUCAAGCAAGAGUCGUCUGCUUAUUUGCCAGUUAUAAAGGCGCUGACAUUGAGGGCAGUUGGGUGUUAUUUGAACCGCAGGUUAAGGUUGUAUUUACCGAAGUUACGAACAGAUAACGAGAUAGAAAUGAGUUCGGUGAAAGAAGAACUUUUCACGCAAGUUGCGCUGCCCAAGGAUUCUUCGGGCAGCAAAGUGACAGUUGUUGGUGUUGGCCAAGUGGGAAUGGCGUGUGCUUUCAGCAUUUUGACACAGAAUGUUUCGAGUGAAAUUGUCCUGGUUGAUGUAGUCGCAGAUAAGUUGAAGGGAGAGAUGAUGGACCUUCAGCAUGGCUUGACAUUCAUGAGAAAUGUCAAAGUGAAUUCCAGCACAGAUUACUCUGUGACUGCGAACUCUAAGCUGUGCAUCGUGACGGCGGGCGCUCGCCAGAAGGAGGGGGAGAGCCGGCUGGAUCUGGUGCAGCGGAACACGGACAUUUUCAAGGGCAUCAUCCCCAAGCUAGUCAAGUACAGCCCCGACACCAUUCUCCUGAUCGUCAGCAACCCAGUGGACAUUUUGACGUACGUGGCGUGGAAGCUGAGUGGAUUGCCGAAGAACCGUGUCAUUGGCUCAGGAACUAACCUGGACUCUUCUAGAUUUCGUUUUCUCAUGUCUGAGCGAGUCAACGUUGCACCCAACAGUUGCCACGGCUGGAUAAUUGGUGAACAUGGAGAUACAAGUGUUCCAGUAUGGUCAGGCGUGAACAUAGCUGGAGUUCGUUUACGUGAUAUUGAUCCAACUAUUGGGACGGACCAAGACAAAGAGGACUGGAAAAUUUUGCACAAACAGGUUGUACAAAGUGCAUAUGAAGUGAUCAAGCUUAAAGGCUACACAUCGUGGGCGAUCGGGCUGAGUGUGGCAACACUGGCCCAAGCUAUCCUACGUAACGGAGGCAACAUACAUGCAGUUUCGACACUUGUUACAGGCCAGCACGGCAUAGACAAGGAGGUGUUCCUGUCGCUGCCGUGCGUGCUGGGGGAGAACGGUGUGACGCACAUAGUGCACCAGCUGCUCACGGACGACGAGCGGGGCAUGCUGCAGCGGUCGGCCGGCCUCAUGCACGAGGUGCAGUCCAGGCUGCAGAUGACCCAGUUGAAGGCUACGUCUUAAAGAACAUUGUACCUCUUGCCGUGUUAUCAGCUGAAGACUCCUCAUCAGGUAGCCGCACAAUAUAUUGGUGCUAGUCGUGCCAUAUUCACAAACCAAGCCAGAAUGUACGUAUGUGUACGUAUAUUGCUGAACAUGAAGACCUGCUAUUAGCUUAUGCAUCUCAGUUACUUGCUCCCCCAUCUGUACUUCCAAAUGAUAGAAACGGUGCCCUACUAUUUGUCCUUUGUUACAUGAAUUAAAAAUUUUUUUACUUUCAUUUAUUUUUGUACACUUGGUUUUCUGAGUACAUUUGUACCAUUUAAGCACUCCCUUUGAACUUGCAGGCUGUUUCUAUGUUUGUUAUCAACUGAUUCUGUGUAAACUAGUGUUAGUCAAUGUUAUAUUGCCUCAGGCUGAAAAACGUUAAAAUAACUACCGUACUUUCAUGAAUUAAAGUGAAUAUUAAAAUCACUAUGACUGACUUGUUAACAGCUUUGACCAAAACAGGAUUACAUCAUAUAACAUGAUAAUUAAAAUUAAGUAUAUAAAAUUGUUGCAAACUAAUAAGAGAAAAAAAAAAUUAUGUAUUUACAACUAUUAAGUUCAAAAUGUGAUUUAAACAUUUUAAAGUUUACUUUUUUACUAAAUAUUAUAUUAGUUGGUAUGCAAAUUGAGAUAUAUAUAUAAUUAACGAUUUCAUUGUUUAUGAUAAAAAUCUUUUGAGCUUAUGAUCAGAAUAAAAUGAGCUGGGUGUUAGAUGUGUCAAGACCUGAACCAAUUUUUGUGGUUUCAUUGUGUGAAAAUAAUGAUUAGCAGAUAAUUUUUUAAGGAUUUUUACAGGGUGGAAUCAUGAUCCACAUCUGCAUUAGCUCAUCCACAGUUUAUUGUAAAGGAAACUAGAUGAAGCAGUAAAACCUUACAAAGCUAUUUACACAGUGAUAAAUUCAAUUAUCCAAAUUUGUUUAACCAGAUAUAAGAAGUGCUUUUUGAAAAAUUUUAUUUCAUUUGCAGGACACUAGUUAGCAUCACUAUUUAUAUUUGAAAAUUGUUAUCUAGUUAACUACAAAAUGAUGUAUGAUUUGGCAAAAAAAAAAAAAAAAAAAAAAAAAAAAUGUUUAAAUAAAAUGCAAUUCUAUUUUUUUUAAAAAAAUUAAGUUUAAACUAAAAAUAGUGAAAAUUUUUUGGUUAUUUUACACCUUUUAAUUUGCAUGUGUUGUAACAGCAGUCUGUGUAUUACCAACCAAUCAUGUGCCAUACUAAGAUUCCGACUUAGCGUCAAAACUCAAAAGUUUUAAAGUGCUAGUGUAAUAUGUUAACAGAUUUAAAGGUUUUAAAUGUCCAUAUUAAUACACAUGAAGCUGAUCAAUAUAUAAGUGUUGUUAUAAAGAAAGUUACCUGCAGUUUAUAGUUUUGGUAUUUGUUUACAUAUAUUUAUUUUUACAUUUUGUAUCAUAAUUUUUGUAGUAUUGUCAGCUGCUGUAAUCUUUAUUAUGUAUGUACAAAUAAACUUGUUUUCAGUGUUGGAAAAUGUA
This is an RNA transcript of Bacillus rossius redtenbacheri, 2678 nucleotides long. It is a transcript of the gene named L-lactate dehydrogenase, with no coding region annotated. The transcript is spliced from 10 exons. NCBI's taxonomy places the organism in Eukaryota, Metazoa, Arthropoda, Insecta, Phasmatodea, Bacillidae. The record is from RefSeq and is a predicted model, not a curated record.